This 108-nucleotide Y RNA is filed under the name Carlito syrichta (Philippine tarsier). RNAcentral's name for it is "Y RNA (ENSTSYG00000020905.2)". It matches the Rfam family "Y RNA". Rfam says of the family: Y RNAs are components of the Ro ribonucleoprotein particle (Ro RNP), in association with Ro60 and La proteins. The record is from RNAcentral. Lineage: Eukaryota; Metazoa; Chordata; Mammalia; Primates; Tarsiidae.
GACUGGUCUGAAGGCAGUGAGUAAUCUCAAUUUAUUGCUCAGAGUGAGUUACAGAUUGAACUCCUUGUACUCUUUCAUCUCUCCUCACUGUUGUACUUGUCUUGUAAA